AUAGCAUUUUAAAACAGCCUCUUUAAAACUGAAUCAAAACAUUCAACUCUAAUGCAGCCAAUCAGAAUCAUAAAAGGGGAGAUUAUUUAAAAAAUUGUCAUUCAAAUACUUGUCACUGUGUUAUAUAGACCUGGAAUAUGCUAUUCUGUACAAAGUGGGGUUAAAAAGACAAGUGACAGGAUGCAAUGUAUGCUUUACCUUAAACUCAUAGGUGCACUUGGCACCACCAUGGGGGUGAAUGAAACCACAAGGCACCAAACCAACGUAACAACAGUGGAUGGAGAAGUACAGCAAUGCUCAACCUGCGAGUUCAGAGAACAGAACAGACUAAUGAGACUCGCAACAUCAGAUCCCAAAUUCUCAGCAUUCUGAGGCUCGAGCAGGCUCCAAACAAACAUCAGCAGAUAAAUGAUCAGGCAGCUCUUACCAAAAGCUCCCAUCCUUUCACAAUUUACAGACCAGUAUGAGCAUCGUGUGGAGGGUGAGGAGCGUGCCCCAACUGAAACGAUCAUAUCCAUGGCAACACCUGGACCAAUGUCACAACAAGACGGAAUACCAUCUUGUUGUUUCUUCAAUCUCAGUCCGAAGAUUCGACCUAACAACAUUUUACAUGCACAACUUUGGGUGAACCUGCGGCCGGCUGAGGGAAACUCGCGCAUACGGAUCCUCUCCCUGAAAAUCGAUGUGGCUUCUGGUGCAAGCUCUUGGCAAAGUGUAGACAUAAAUCAAUUACUCAAAACCUGGCUUCAUCAGCCCGAAACUCAUUAUGGUCUCGAGAUCAAAGCUUAUGAUUCGAAAAGGCAGGAUUUAGCUGUCACAGUAGCAGAGUUGGGAGAAGAGGGACUGCAACCCUUCAUGGAGGUGAAGAUAUCGGAGAACCUAAAGCGUUCCCGGAGGGACUCAGCCCUGGACUGUGAUGAGGAGUCCUCAGAGACGCUGUGUUGCCGCUACCCCCUCACCGUCGACUUUGAGGCCUUUGGCUGGGACUGGAUCAUUGCCCCCAAACGCUACAAGGCCAACUACUGUUCUGGAGAGUGUGAGUACAUGCACCUCCAGAAGUACCCCCACACUCACCUGGUGAACAAGGCUAGCGCCCGGGGUACCACAGGGCCCUGUUGUACUCCAACUAAGAUGUCCUCCAUCAACAUGCUCUACUUCAACCGCAUGGAGCAGAUCAUUUAUGGGAAGAUACCAUCUAUGGUGGUGGACCACUGUGGCUGCUCCUGAGCGGGAGGAUGAGAGGACAGGACAAAACACACACGCACAUUGUGUUGUGUAAUGAGUUAAAAAAGUUAUCCCAAAGUGAACCCUCUUACAAGAAUCCAUAAUAUUUUUGCAUAAACGGCUACAGGAGACAUGUGAAGUUUGAAAAACAUGAACCUUUUGCUCUGAGUGAGGACAUGAACUGCCCAUACUCUCCCCCCAAGGUUCGUCCCGCAAUGUGGCUGGAACUGCUAGAAAUAUUUAAGGACACAUAACACAAUUGUCAUAGGAGUGCAAAACCUGCACUGAAACAGAUGUCCCCGAUAUUGUGGAUCACAGGAUUUUGGAACAGCUUGGUGGUCCUCAGAACACAGUGUCACAUACAGAGCUACUCUAAUAGCCUACAUGAAUUGAAACCAAAAAUGGUAUGUUCCUUAUGUAGCUAAAUGUUUCAGGCCUAUAGUCAUAUUAUAUUGUGAUCAGUUUAGCCUACAGAUUAUGCUAGGCAUUAGAGCUUUCCUAGUACCAUAUCAACUCAAAUCAAUUCAUAUUUGGCACACGGUCAAAUAUUAUUGCACUGGUGGAGCUAGGAAAACAAUAACAACUGCUAAAUAUUUGUAUGUGACCAAUAAUUAAGGUUGCACAUUUUGGGGAUUUUUCAGAGGUGGAAACUUUCUGUGGGAAUUAACAGAAAUAUAUGGGAAUUAACAGAAAUAUUUUUUAAUUAAUAUUAAUACCAUUUAAAUGUAGAUUUUUUUGCAUUGGAUAUACAGUAUUUACCAUAUCAUAUGGAGAAAGAAACAUUUUAAACCUUGUAAAAAAGGG
Oncorhynchus mykiss (rainbow trout) is the source of this 2028-nucleotide RNA transcript. It is a transcript of the gene named growth/differentiation factor 8, with no coding region annotated. The record is from RefSeq and is a predicted model, not a curated record. NCBI's taxonomy places the organism in Eukaryota, Metazoa, Chordata, Actinopteri, Salmoniformes, Salmonidae.